Molecule: long non-coding RNA, 1198 nt
Organism: Prosopis cineraria
Lineage: Eukaryota; Viridiplantae; Streptophyta; Magnoliopsida; Fabales; Fabaceae
Exons: 2
Source: RefSeq, a predicted model, not a curated record
GAGAGAAUGAUGACCCUGGUUGAUGGUUUGAUGGUGAUUUGACGUCACGAUUGAGCUUAAGUUGCUCAUUAAAACAUGAUUAAGAAUGUUUUGAAAUGAUAAUAAUAAAAUUGAAAUUUUAAAAUUUGUGACAAGACAUAACAGAGAAGCUGCGGAAUUGCAGUCUGCAGAGGAAUUAUGUGAACAAAAGCCUACUUCCUGCCCUAGCUAAGCUAGCCUGCCCUACACAGACUUCUUUUAUUAUCCAAAAACAAAUGAAUCACCCAAUUUCACUUCUAUCUUUCUCACGAACACCUUCCCUCCACGGCUCCGUCUGCGACGACCCUCAUCUUCUUCCUGGCUAGUUGAUUUCCAUUUCGACCUUCUUCGUCUCCUUGAAGUUGGACUCUGUGCGAGAGUAGUGUAUAGGGUUCCUUCUGUACCAGUCCCACAUCGGAUAAGCGUCGACAAGCUAUAAUGUGUAUAUAGGACUAGUGCACCGCUAAAGUCGUCCCUUCGGGGACAUCCGAUAAAAUUGGAACGAUACAGAGAAGAUUAGCAUGGCCCCUGCGCAAGGAUGACACGCACAAAUCGAGAAAUGGUUCAAAUUUUUUUGCCAAAAAUCAUCCCCGUCUUUCAUCCGCUCUUGGUUUUCCAGAGAGAAGCAGCUUUGCGUGAGCGGUGGUGCUCUUCAUGUGAAGAACAAUCCUCCGAUUCGUGGUCUCCAUUGCCUGAAACUUGUGACUGUAGUUAAGUGAUUUUCGCUGUUUUGGUAGACACGGUCCUCCUUUAAAAAAUCUUUGACGUUCCUUCUCUCACUUCUCUCUUUCUAUUUACUUUCCUCAUGAAAAGAAUUGAGCAGCAGAGAACACGAAAUUUGUGCGUUUGCUCUUGGUACUGUAUGUUAAAAGCAUUGUAUUUGGCCUUGGUUUCAAGCUGUUGAUCUGAUAAAUUUCGGUUGCGGUGCUGCUUAGUUUGGGCAAUUACAGCUGAAGCUUUGUGCGAAGUAGUCCUGUGGUUCAACAUUUAUUAACAAGAGAAUGUUGACGAAUAGAUUAUGAGAAAAAUCAAAUUCAAGGAAUUGCUGAAACAAGUCAAAUUUCUGUUUACUCUGAGCAAAGUCUCUUGGUCUUGGCAAUUAUGAUGAGUCCCUUUGUUUUGAUACAAUACAAGUGCGUGUUAGCACAUAUAUGAAGCUCAAUGUGGAAUCUUGAUGGUU